AGAAAGCUCCCUUCGGGGAGCCGGUACAGUGGCGCACGGGUGAGUAACACGUGGGUAAUCUGUCCUCGAGUGGGGAACAACCCAGGGAAACUUGGGCUAAUACCGCAUAACAUCCCGACCUCUCCGGAGGAUGGGAUCAAAGCUGGGGAUCGCAAGACCUGGCGCUUGAGGAGGAGCCUGCGGCUGAUUAGCUUGUUGGUGGGGUAACGGCCUACCAAGGCGACGAUCAGUAGCCGGCCUGAGAGGGUGAUCGGCCACACUGGAACUGAGACACGGUCCAGACUCCUACGGGAGGCAGCAGUGAGGAAUUUUGCGCAAUGGGCGAAAGCCUGACGCAGCAAUGCCGCGUGGAUGAUGAAGGCCUUCGGGUCGUAAAAUCCUGUCAAGUGGGAAGAAACCCCCUCCGUCAAUAGCGGCAGGGGGGUGACUGUACCACUGGAGGAAGCCCCGGCUAACUCCGUGCCAGCAGCCGCGGUAAUACGGAGGGGGCAAGCGUUGUUCGGAAUUAUUGGGCGUAAAGGGCGCGUAGGCGGCACUGUAAGUCGGUUGUGAAAUCCCUUGGCUCAACCAAGGAACUGCAACCGAAACUACAGAGCUAGAGUCCGGGAGAGGGUAGUGGAAUUCCCAGUGUAGCGGUGAAAUGCGUAGAUAUUGGGAGGAACACCAGUGGCGAAGGCGGCUACCUGGACCGGUACUGACGCUGAGGCGCGAAAGCUAGGGGAGCAAACAGGAUUAGAUACCCUGGUAGUCCU
Molecule: ribosomal RNA, 752 nt
Filed under: uncultured bacterium
Lineage: Bacteria
Description: bacterial SSU rRNA
Rfam family: Bacterial small subunit ribosomal RNA
Source: RNAcentral